UACGUAGGGGGCGAGCGUUGUCCGGAAUCAUUGGGCGUAAAGAGUGUGUAGGCGGCCAUGUAGGUCCGGUGUGAAAACUCGAGGCUUAACCUCGAGAUGUCAUCGGAAACCAUUUGGCUAGAGUCCGGAAGAGGAGAGUGGAAUUCCUGGUGUAGCGGUGAAAUGCGCAGAUAUCAGGAAGAACACCAAUGGCGAAAGCAGCUCUCUGGGACGGUACUGACGCUGAGACACGAAAGCGUGGGGAGCGAACAGG
RNAcentral lists this ribosomal RNA (253 nucleotides) under uncultured bacterium. RNAcentral's name for it is "partial 16S ribosomal RNA". It matches the Rfam family "Bacterial small subunit ribosomal RNA", at positions 524 to 776 of the family's 1533-position model. The record is from RNAcentral.